This 490-nucleotide ribosomal RNA is filed under the name uncultured bacterium. Its description in RNAcentral is "partial 16S ribosomal RNA". It matches the Rfam family "Bacterial small subunit ribosomal RNA", at positions 30 to 507 of the family's 1533-position model. The record is from RNAcentral.
AUUGAACGCUGGCGGCAGGCCUAACACAUGCAAGUCGAACGGUAACAGGAAGAAGCUUGCUUCUUUGCUGACGAGUGGCGGACGGGUGAGUAAUGUCUGGGAAACUGCCUGAUGGAGGGGGAUAACUACUGGAAACGGUAGCUAAUACCGCAUAACGUCGCAAGCCCAAAGAGGGGGACCUUCGGGCCUCUUGCCAUCGGAUGUGCCCAGGUGGGAUUAGCUAGUAGGUGGGGUAACGGCUCACCUAGGCGACGAUCCCUAGCUGGUCUGAGAGGAUGACCAGCCACACUGGAACUGAGACACGGUCCAGACUCCUACGGGAGGCAGCAGUGGGGAAUAUUGCACAAUGGGCGCAAGCCUGAUGCAGCCAUGCCGCGUGUAUGAAGAAGGCCUUCGGGUUGUAAAGUACUUUCAGCGGGGAGGAAGGGAGUAAAGUUAAUACCUUUGCUCAUUGACGUUACCCGCAGAAGAAGCACCGGCUAACUCCGUG